This 496-nucleotide ribosomal RNA is filed under the name uncultured bacterium. RNAcentral describes it as "partial 16S ribosomal RNA". It matches the Rfam family "Bacterial small subunit ribosomal RNA", at positions 28 to 507 of the family's 1533-position model. The record is from RNAcentral.
GAUGAACGCUGGCGGCGUGCCUAAUACAUGCAAGUAGAACGCUGAAGGAGGAGCUUGCUCUUUCCGGAUGAGUUGCGAACGGGUGAGUAACGCGUAGGUAACCUGCCUGGUAGCGGGGGAUAACUAUUGGAAACGAUAGCUAAUACCGCAUAACAGUAGAUAUUGCAUGAUAUUUGCUUGAAAGGGGCAAUUGCUCCACUACCAGAUGGACCUGCGUUGUAUUAGCUAGUUGGUGAGGUAACGGCUCACCAAGGCGACGAUACAUAGCCGACCUGAGAGGGUGGUCAGCCACACUGGGACGGAGACACGGCCCAGUCGCCUACGGGAGGGAGCAGGAGGGAAUCUUCGGCAAGGGACGGAAGUCUGAACGAGCAACGCCGCGGGAGUGAGGAAGGUUGUCGGGUCGUAAAGCUCGGUUGUAAGGGAAGAACGAGUGUGAGAGUGGAAAGUUCACACUGUGACGGUAUCUUACCAGAAAGCGACGGCUAACUACGUG